Molecule: small nuclear RNA, 141 nt
Organism: Scophthalmus maximus (turbot)
Lineage: Eukaryota; Metazoa; Chordata; Actinopteri; Pleuronectiformes; Scophthalmidae
Gene: U4
Rfam family: U4 spliceosomal RNA
About the family: U4 small nuclear RNA (U4 snRNA) is a component of the major U2-dependent spliceosome. The structure of U4 snRNA from yeast and human has been reported. U4 snRNA presents a k-turn RNA motif in the 5p-SL related to recognition of Snu13 protein.
Source: Ensembl
AUCUCUGCGCAGUGGCAGUAUCGUAGCCUAUGAGGUUCAUCUGAGGCGUGAUUAUUGCUAGUUGAAAACUUUACCCAAUACCCCGCCUAGACGACUUGAAAUAUAGUCGGCGACGGCAAUUUUUGACGGUCUCUACGGAGA